CCGGGCCGGCGGCACGCCCCAGCACGGGAGUGGGCGAGGUCGCGACCAGGAGAUCCGCCGGCGAGAGGCUGCGGCGCUCGCCACCGGAUGCAGCUUCUAGAUCGAGCCCUCCGCCUCGCAAGCCGCCGCUGCCGCACCCUCCACCUACUGCUCCACCCGCGGACCUCCGCCCUUCGCCUCCGACCUCCAGCUCCACGCAGGCAUCAUGGCCCCCGCACGGGGGAGGCCCAGCCCCGGCAUCGCUACCCAAGCUGGGGUCGCCGCGAGCGACUAGAAGUUUCCCGUCCGCCAGAAUCCCCUGCGUGCGGCCUCCCCCGGGCUCGGCGCGGGCGGCCUGCAGAUUCGGCAGCGCCGCCCUGGCUUGGGCUCGGUCUAGCCACGGCGGCGCAUCCUUGGAACAGCCUCGUCGCAGGCGAUGUCAAGCCUCUGCGGACCUUGGUAGCGGCAAACCCAUCGCCGACCAACCCAGCCGCCUAGUAGCCUACUGCCUACAGCCAAAGCAAGCAUUGAUCCCUCCUUUACCUUGCCAUGGGCUAGAACCUCAGCGGAUAACUACCAUCAAUCUGGGGGCAUUCCAAUAAAUGAAUCUUUUGAAACCUGCUUAAGGGCUGUUCAGAUCCUGCCUGCUGGUCUUGCAACUGAUGCAGUGCGAGAGUGUGAAGAGCUGAGAACUC
Long non-coding RNA from Panicum virgatum (switchgrass), 674 nucleotides. RefSeq lists it as uncharacterized. The record is from RefSeq and is a predicted model, not a curated record. NCBI's taxonomy places the organism in Eukaryota, Viridiplantae, Streptophyta, Magnoliopsida, Poales, Poaceae. The transcript has 4 exons.